AUUGAACGCUGGCGGUAUGCUUAACACAUGCAAGUCGAACGGUAACAGGCCUUCGGGCGCUGACGAGUGGCGGACGGUGAGUAACGCGUAGGAAUCUGCCUCAUAGUGGGGACAACGUGGGGAAACUCACGCUAAUACCGCAUACGCCCUACGGGGAAAGCGGGGAGUCUUCGGACCUCGCGCUAUGAGAUGAGCCUGCGUUAGAUUAGCUAGUUGGUAGGGUAAAGGCCUACCAAGGCGACGAUCUAUAGCUGGUCUGAGAGGACGAUCAGCCACACUGGGACUGAGACACGGCCCAGACUCCUACGGGAGGCAGCAGUGGGGAAUAUUGGACAAUGGGCGCAAGCCUGAUCCAGCAAUACCGCGUGUGUGAAGAAGGCCUUAGGGUUGUAAAGCACUUUCAAUUGGGAGGAAAACCUGCCGGUCAAUGCCCGGCAGCUUGACAUUACCUUAGAAGAAGCACCGGCUAACUCCGUGCCAGCAGCCGCGGUAAU
Molecule: ribosomal RNA, 494 nt
Filed under: uncultured bacterium
Lineage: Bacteria
Description: bacterial SSU rRNA
Rfam family: Bacterial small subunit ribosomal RNA
Source: RNAcentral